UUUCCUAUUCCCCUGCCAGGCUCUCCCUGCUGACAUUGUUUCGCGGGAGAGCUGUGAAUACUGAAGAUUAGGUUGCUUCUCACCCCAAGCUCCAGAAGUCCAGGCUGAGCCAAACCAAGCUUCAAGUUGUGCCUGGACUUGGAGAACCAGGAAGUGAGGGGACUGACUACUUGAAGAUCACAUGGAGGAGGAGUCUGAUCCAGGCCCAGGCACCGAGGAAAGGCCAUGCAAGGGCAUAAGGAGAAGGGCAGCUGUCUGUAAGCCAGAAAGAGCCUUCACUAGAAACCAAAUCAGCCAGAACCUUCAUCUUGGACUUUCCAGCCUUCAGAGAUGUGAAAAAAAUAAAUUUCUAUUGAUUAACCUA
This 364-nucleotide long non-coding RNA is filed under the name Pan troglodytes (chimpanzee). Its description in RNAcentral is "lincRNA". The record is from RNAcentral. Lineage: Eukaryota; Metazoa; Chordata; Mammalia; Primates; Hominidae.